UGGAGAGUUUGAUCCUGGCUCAGGACGAACGCUGCGGCGUGCCUAAUACAUGCAAGUCGAGCGGAUCACUAUUUCCUUCGGAGGCUGAUGCUUAGCGGCGGACGGGUGAGUAAUACGUAGGCAACCUGCCCAUAAGACUGGGAUAACUUGCGGAAACGUGGGCUAAUACCGGAUAGGCGRUUUUCUCGCAUGAGGGAAUCGGGAAAGGCGGAGCAAUCUGCCACUUAUGGAUGGACCUACGGCGCAUUAGCUAGUUGGUGGGGUAACGGCUCACCAAGGCGACGAUGCGUAGCCGACCUGAGAGGGUGAUCGGCCACACUGGGACUGAGACACGGCCCAGACUCCUACGGGAGGCAGCAGUAGGGAAUCUUCCGCAAUGGACGCAAGUCUGACGGAGCAACGCCGCGUGAGUGAUGAAGGUUUUCGGAUCGUAAAGCUCUGUUGCCAGGGAAGAACGCUAUGGAGAGUAACUGUACCAUAGGUGACGGUACCUGAGAAGAAGCCCGCUACUACAUCGUGCCAGCAGCCGCGGUA
Molecule: ribosomal RNA, 534 nt
Filed under: Paenibacillus sp. SdTc1FEE1
Lineage: Bacteria; Bacillati; Bacillota; Bacilli; Caryophanales; Paenibacillaceae
Description: bacterial SSU rRNA
Rfam family: Bacterial small subunit ribosomal RNA
Source: RNAcentral